UAGGGAAUUUUGCGCAAUGGAGGAAACUCUGACGCAGCAAUACCGUGUGCGGGAAGACGCUUCGUGGAGUGUAAACCGCUGUCAGAUGGGAUGAAUAAAUGACUGUACCAUCAAAGGAAGGACCGGCUAACUCUGUGCCAGCAGCCGCGGUAAUACAGAGGGUCCAAGCGUUGUCCGGAUUUAUUGGGCGUAAAGCGUCUGUAGGUCGUUGAUUAAGUCUGAAGUGAAAGAAUGGAGCUCAACUCCAUAUCCGCUUUGGAAACUGGUUAACUAGAGAAUGUUAGAGGUAAGUGGAAUUUCUAGUGUAGCGGUGAAAUGCGUAGAUAUUAGAAAGAACACCAGAGGCGAAGGCGACUUACUGGGACAUUUCUGACACUGAGAGACGAAAGCAUGGGGAGCGAAAGGGAUUAGAUACCCCCGUAGUCC
Molecule: ribosomal RNA, 426 nt
Filed under: uncultured prokaryote
Description: bacterial SSU rRNA
Rfam family: Bacterial small subunit ribosomal RNA
Source: RNAcentral